This 466-nucleotide ribosomal RNA is filed under the name uncultured bacterium. Its description in RNAcentral is "bacterial SSU rRNA". It matches the Rfam family "Bacterial small subunit ribosomal RNA", at positions 329 to 793 of the family's 1533-position model. The record is from RNAcentral.
UUCCAGACUCCUACGGGAGGCAGCAGUGAGGAAUAUUGGUCAAUGGGCGGGAGCCUGAACCAGCCAAGUCGCGUGAGGGAUGACGGCCCUAUGGGUUGUAAACCUCUUUUGCCGGGGAGCAAAGUGCCGCACGUGUGCGGUUUGGAGAGUACCCGGAGAAAAAGCAUCGGCUAACUCCGUGCCAGCAGCCGCGGUAAUACGGAGGAUGCGAGCGUUACUCGGAUUUAUUGGGUUUAAAGGGUGCGUAGGCGGACUGUUAAGUCAGGGGUAAAAUUGCGGGGCUCAACCUCGGCGUGCCGUUGAAACUGGGUGCCUUGAGUGGGCGAGAAGUACGCGGAAUGCGUGGUGUAGCGGUGAAAUGCAUAGAUAUCGCGCAGAACCCCGAUUGCGAAGGCAGCGUGCCGUGCCGCCACUGACGCUGAGGCACGAAAGCGCGGGGAUCGAACAGGAUUAGAUACCCUAGUAA